AAAGGAAUAGACGGGAGCCCGCACAAGCAGUGGAGUAUGUGGUUCAAUUCGAUGCAACGCGAAGAACCUUACCGGAGCUUGACAUCCUAAGAAUACCGAUGUAAUGUUGGUAGUGCCCCUUUUGGGGAGCUUAGAGACAGGUGGUGCAUGGUUGUCGUCAGCUCGUGUCGUGAGAUGUUGGGUUAAGUCCCGCAACGAGCGCAACCCCUACGGUUAGUUGCUACGCAAGAGCACUCUAGCCGGACUGCCGUUGACAAAACGGAGGAAGGUGGGGAUGACGUCAAAUCAUCAUGCCCCUUACGUUCCGGGCUACACACGUACUACAAUGGCGUAAACAAAGGGAAGCGAAUUCGCGAGGAGGAGCCAACCCCAUAAAAGACGCCCCAGUUCGGACUGCAGGCUGCAACCCGCCUGCACGAAGUUGGAAUUGCUAGUAAUCGCGGAUCAGAAUGCCGCGGUGAAUACGUUCCCGGGCUUUGUACACACCGCCCGU
RNAcentral lists this ribosomal RNA (493 nucleotides) under uncultured bacterium. RNAcentral's name for it is "bacterial SSU rRNA". It matches the Rfam family "Bacterial small subunit ribosomal RNA", at positions 903 to 1397 of the family's 1533-position model. The record is from RNAcentral.